CUAUUAUUUUCAGAUAUUCAAAAUAUGUUUCUCUUUUGCAAUUUACAUUAUUACAUUCCACUUAUGUUUUCAUUGAAAAAUGCCUCUUUUUUUCAAGCUGGCAUUGGAAUCUUGACCCUCAGCUUCCUCAUUUUCUUCCUCGUCUUCACACUUCUUCUGUAAUGCAGGCCUGAGCCCACAGACCUGACCAUUUAUCACCUGGUCUUCAUCCACAUAGUGAUCCUCCUUACUCUGGUGUCAUUGUUGUCUCCAGGUCUGCCUGAGUCACUGUAUUUUCAGAAUGACUUCAAGUGUAAAGGAUUUUUUUUACCUGAACAAGAUGAUGAGAAGUUUCUCCAUCUGCACCACCUGCUUCCUGAGUGUGCUUCAGACCAUAAUCAUCAGCCCCAGAAGCUCUUGGUUGGUGAGGUUUAACCAUAAAUCCACCAUUUUCACCUGUCAUUUCUUGUUGUUUUUACAUUUUCUCAGUUUUUUUUUUUUUCAGUAGUAAUCUCAUCUUGUGCACUGUGGGGUCUUCUAAUGUGACCCUGAGCAAUCUUCUGCAUACCAGUAAAGACUGUUCACUUUUCCACCAUGAACUCCAUCAUCAGAAGACUGUUUCUUACUCUGUUUCUUACUCCAGAUAUGUUUUUCUUAUAGGAACAAUGCUGCUUUCAAGUGCAUACAGAGUGGUCCUUUUGUUCAGGCACCAGAAGAAAUUCUGAUACUUUCACAGCACCAGCCUCUCCCCAAGACCUUCCCCAGAGAAAAGUGCCACUCAGACCAUCCUGCUGCUAGUGAGUUUCUUUGUGGUCAUCUACUGGGUCGAUUUCAUCAUCUCAUGCACCUCAACCUCGCUAUGGGCAUAUGACCCUGUUGUCCUGGGUGUCCAGAGGCUUGUCAGUCUUUUGGUGCUACUCAGAUCUGAUAAAAGGAUAAUCAUUGUGACACAAACUGUGAGACAGAGGGUUAACAAGUUAUUUUUAUUGAAA
This 971-nucleotide long non-coding RNA is filed under the name Homo sapiens (human). RNAcentral's name for it is "non-protein coding lnc-WDR13-2:1". Lineage: Eukaryota; Metazoa; Chordata; Mammalia; Primates; Hominidae. The record is from RNAcentral.